GGUCUGGUAGUGUAGUGGUUAUCACGCGUCGUUCACAGAAGGUGAACACACAUCCGACGAGGUCCCCGGUUCGAUCCCGGGCCAGACCA
Exophiala spinifera is the source of this 89-nucleotide non-coding RNA. Lineage: Eukaryota; Fungi; Ascomycota; Eurotiomycetes; Chaetothyriales; Herpotrichiellaceae. The record is from the annotation of a RefSeq genome assembly.